CCCAUCCCAGGGCGUAGCAAUGAGGCGAUGGGUGAGCAACAAAUCAGGUGCUGACAUGCCACGCUGAGGUCUAUAUAAGCAGCACCAUUUUCCGGGUUCGGGGGUCUUCCUCCUGACGAAGCAAUAAAGCUUAGCUGUAGAAGAAUCCGGUUGUCCGAGUGUGUUCUUGCUGGCGAGACAUAAGCACGGAGCACGUCUCGUCUUGGCAAAUGAAAGCCUAGCUACAGAACAGCUCAGACAGGAAGCAGACGUGUGCUCUUCCCUCUUUGGAGACCUAACUCUGAAGCCUUCCUGGGAUCCUGUUUCUUCCAUGGAGAGCCUAUUGUUCCUCACAUGGUGCUGGGUACGCAGCAGGUGUUCAGUAAAUAUUUGGUGAAUAAAUGAGCAAGUCAAGCCGAGAGCAGCGCAGGAGUUCACACUGCAAUUCAAACGGGAUGGUGCUGGCUGAAGGGAAGAGUGAGCUACGGCACGGUGUAAGACUGGCUCAAGGCCACGAGCUUGAAACCCUGACUAUUCUCCAUCUUAUUCGUCACGGACAGUCAGUCAUAUUGGGGUGUGACUUGGGAACCAUGCAGCCUGCCCGCCUGAAGCAUGUCUGCCAUCAGCACGGCCUCGUUUUAAUUACCCCUUCCUUAGUCCCCAUGUCCCUUAGUCAUAAUGCCCCAUUGUACUCUGCUCUCUUCUGCAGCCCUAAAACUACUAGUGCAUAUUCUACCUCUGUGGAUCUGUUUAUUCUGGGCAUUUCACCUCAAUGAAAUUACAUAAUGUGACUGGCGCCUUUUACUUAGCAGCCACGUUGCUGCCUACGCCAACACGUGGGUACUUUUUAUGGCUUAAUAUUCUCUUUUAUGACAGUUUUAUUCAUUGGCUGUGGGUUGUUUCUACUUUGGGGCAUUUUAAGUGGAACUGUAAUGAACAAUAGUGUAAGCUUUUGUGUGCAAAUGUCGUCAUUUCUCUUGCCUGUAUGCCUAGGAGUGCAGUUGUUAAAUCAUAUGGUGACUCUAUGUUUACCCAUUUAAGAAACCAACAGUCUGUCUUUCUGAAAGAGGUAUACCAUUUCACAUCCCACCAGCAACAUCCUGUCUAUUUUCAGACGUUCGAACUGUUCCACAAUAAAUUUUUUAAAAAAC
RNAcentral lists this long non-coding RNA (1130 nucleotides) under Mus spicilegus (steppe mouse). RNAcentral describes it as "lncRNA (ENSMSIG00000031229.1)". The record is from RNAcentral. Lineage: Eukaryota; Metazoa; Chordata; Mammalia; Rodentia; Muridae.